CAGCNAUGCCGCGAUGAGUGAAGAAGGCCUUCGGGUUGUAAAGCUCUUUUGUCAGGGAAGAAACGGUAAGGGCUAAUAUCUCUUGCUAAUGACGGUACCUGAAGAAUAAGCACCGGCUAACUACGUGCCAGCAGCCGCGGUAAUACGUAGGGUGCAAGCGUUAAUCGGAAUUACUGGGCGUAAAGCGUGCGCAGGCGGUUUUGUAAGUCUGUCGUGAAGGCCCCGGGCUCAACCUGGGAAUUGCGAUGGAGACUGCAAGGCUUGAAUCUGGCAGAGGGGGGUAGAAUUCCACGUGUAGCAGUGAAAUGCGUAGAGAUGUGGAGGAACACCGAUGGCGAAGGCAGCCCCCUGGGUCAAGAUUGACGCUCAUGCACGAAAGCGUGGGGAGCAAACAGGAUUAGAUACCCUGGUAGUCCACGCCCUAAACGAUGUCUACUAGUUGUCGGGUUUUAAUUAACUUGGUAACGCAGCUAACGCGUGAAGUAGACCGCCUGGGGAGUACGGUCGCAAGAUUA
Molecule: ribosomal RNA, 515 nt
Filed under: uncultured bacterium
Lineage: Bacteria
Description: bacterial SSU rRNA
Rfam family: Bacterial small subunit ribosomal RNA
Source: RNAcentral